UGGGGAAUAUUGCACAAUGGAGGGAACUCUGAUGCAGCGACGCCGCGUGAACGAAGAAGGCUUUCGAGUCGUAAAGUUCUUUUAUAUGGGAAGAAAAUGACAGUACCAUACGAAUAAGGACCGGCUAAUUACGUGCCAGCAGCCGCGGUAAUACGUAAGGUCCGAGCGUUGUCCGGAAUCAUUGGGCGUAAAGGGUACGUAGGCGGAUAAGCAAGUUAGAAGUGAAAUCCUAUAGCUCAACUAUAGUAAGCUUUUAAAACUGCUCAUCUUGAGGUAUGGAAGGGAAAGUGGAAUUCCUAGUGUAGCGGUGAAAUGCGCAGAUAUUAGGAGGAAUACCGGUGGCGAAGGCGACUUUCUGGACUUUUACUGACGCUCAGGUACGAAAGCGUGGGGAGCAAACAGG
RNAcentral lists this ribosomal RNA (403 nucleotides) under Verrucomicrobiota bacterium. RNAcentral describes it as "Verrucomicrobia bacterium partial 16S ribosomal RNA". It matches the Rfam family "Bacterial small subunit ribosomal RNA", at positions 355 to 776 of the family's 1533-position model. Lineage: Bacteria; Pseudomonadati; Verrucomicrobiota. The record is from RNAcentral.